AAAAUCUGCCCAUGGAAAGCAUGGUGGGAGGAGGAGUGUAGGAGGAAGAGACAAGCCAGUUUUUCUGCUUCUGAUGGCACUUCUAGUCGCAUGGUGGUAGGGGCAGUGGGUGACUGAGCACCUGGGGAACAGAAAAGCCAUGAACCGAUGGGAAGAUGGGUGCAAAUGGGACAUGUUUGGGGCAGAAGUAAGUGGAUGAAUAGGGAAGAGAGGAGGAGUUCAAUUUUGGAUAUAGGAAGUUUGAGAUGCCUAGUAGCUAUCCAGAUGGGGAGAUCAAUAAGCGACUAGAUAGUUCGGAGCUGGCUGUAGAUAUAAAUCUGAAAGUUAGUGAUGUCGUUUGAAAGCCAUGAGAUUAGGUGAGCUCACUGAGGAAUAGAGAAAAAGAGGACCACCCCCGAAUCCAGGCUGUCUGACAUGAAAACUCAGGGAGGAGAAGAGAAACUGACAAAAACAGAUUGAAAAAGAGGGAUCAGUGUUGUAGGAGGAAGAUCUCAGAGAAGAGACAGGGACCAACUUUGUCAGAUGGGCUGCUGUGUCAAAACCGCCUGGACGCUGAAUGGAUGGCUGACGUCAGCAACAUAAAGCCUGGAGAGAUACUCUUCCACUGACCUUGGAGGAGUAAGCUGCUACCACGUGAACAGUUGAGAGACGACCACGUGGUUUGGCACAGUGGGCAGCUUAAAGGAUCUGAGGCCUCAGUGAUAAAGCAGCAAGAACAUGAAUCCUGCCAGUACUUUGGCGUUCCUGGGCACUCUGGCCAACUGCAGGCCCUAGUUCAUGGGGGCCCACCUGGUUCACACCGACCUCACAGACAAGCAGGGCAGGCUGGCAGAUUUUGAAGCAAGGGCAUGCUCUGUUUUUUCUCUUAAGCUCACCGACAGAACACUCCCUCUUCCUCCCAAGCAGGGGCCUGAACAGGGCCAGAAUUGGGGGGAAGCCAGCGCAGGGUCAGAGUCUGUCUUGAUGUGGGAAGCAGAGAGCAAUUUGAUAAAGAAAAGGAGAAGGCAAUGUGAUGCAGGAUAAGAAGAGAAAAGAUUAUGUGAUGCAGGGCCAUGAGCCAAGGAAUGAGGACAACAUCCUUCCUGGAAAAGACAAAGAAACAGAUUCUCCCCUGGAGCCUCCAGAAGGAGCCAGCCCAGAUGACCCUUUGAUUUUAGCUCACUGAGACUGAUUUCACAUUUCUGACCUCCAGAACUAUAAAAGAAUCAAUUUGUGUACCAAUCCAUCUCCCCGUCUUGUUAGUUUGUGCGAGACCAUCUUUCUAAGACUCUGUUGUGUCCUCUGUAAAGUGGGAAUAAUAAAAUAUCUAUUUCAUAGAGUUGCUGUUAGAUUAUGAUCAUUCAUGUAAAAUGCUCAGGAUAGGACUUGGCCCGUGGAAGGUUCUUUAUAAAGUUGGCUACUCAUUUGGUCUAGACAGGAAGAUUGCAACAUUUUUUGCCUCCUUUCGACUAACUCAAGUAGAUUACUAAGUAGCUCUUGGAAUACAGAAAGGGUUGAAUAUUUAUUAACUGUUCGAAUGUCACUAUCCUAUCAGGCACUCCGACCCUAUUGGCUUCAUCUUCUCUGAUCGUCUUUUCUCAAGAGUUGACUGCAAGAUACAGAAAAGGCAAAUGGAUGGAAUGACUGGAAAAUAACCCCUGAAUGAGAGAACUAAAGAGGGUCUUGAAGGGAUUUCUUUGCCUAUUAUCUGAGUUCAGGGAAAGUCACACAAAACAGGUGAAAGGUUAUCCUGUUUGUAAAGAUCUCUAGCGAGGGAGUGCCCACAACCUUUCCUAGUAAGGUCCCUUGGUGCAGAUGAAGACUGUUCUUGAUUUUCAAAGAAGACUGCACUGAUGUCUGUAAGUCUCCUCUGUGGAAAGAAAUAGAACGGUUUUGUUUUUGAGAACGGCUUAAUACACAGUGCCGCUCAAAAGAGUCUGUUGUGAAAGUGGCCACGUGUUAGUUACCUGGCCGUGUCUCCGUUUAGGUUUCAGGACCACUGAAGGUAAGAGGCAGCAGAGUUGUACAGAGAUUUCUUUUCCUUACCCUGGAUUACACUUCAAAAUGUCACGAAUGAAAAAGAAAACAUAUAAUAAAUCUAUUUACUUACAUUAUUCAUCCCUACAACUGUGUUUUCUGUAGACUCUUGUAUUUUCUAUUUUUCGCUUCGUGGAUUCGGCAUUUGUAUUCUGUUGUUUAUAGGUACUGGUUACAUCUGCAUAGAUGAAGUGCUCUGUGGUUUCUACCGUGAGCCCUUGGGGGGCGGGAACAGCUUCUACACGUUUCUCUUGUAUAGUGUUGGGUGGAACUUCUUGUGCCCCAGGGCUGUUUUAUGAUGACAGAGAUGACACUAUAAAACGAAGCUAAAGGAACAUUGUUUACUUUUAUUUUAAUAUUUAUUUAUUUAUUUUCAAAGAACAUUAAAAUUUUUUUUAGCUUAUUUAUUUUGAGAGAGAGAGAGAGAGAGAGAAUGAGAAUGAGUGGGGUAGGGGCAGAGAGAGAGGAAGGUAGAAUUCCAAGCAGCCUCCACGUUGUCCGUGCAGUGCACAACGCAGGGCUUGAUCCCAUGAACCAUGAUGGAGUCAGACGCUUAACUGACUGAGCCACCCAGACACCCCUCAAAGGACUAUUUUUUUUUUAAAUAGGGUCUUAUGCUGUUGGGUCUUUAGGGGGUGUCUCUCUAUUUACAGAGUAAAGAACUGAGGAAGAAGUGCUGUAUCAUCAUGACAAGCAACUGUGGCCAAAUGGCAUAGGCCAGUGAUUUUCUAAAGGCCUGGAAAAUCCUGAUCCUGUUGGAGAUGGCCGUGGAAACAAAUGAAUCUGGUUCACUGACCUGGCCUCUGAUGCCAGAUGAAGGUUUAGCCUAAGGAUGAAAGACCAAGUUCCCUUCUAUCUCUGAACAUGUCUCAACCCUGGACAUUGUCCUUCUCCAUCACUGAAUCCCAUGUUCGCCCACCCCCGUGGUUAGCAGCUCAUUAGAGGGGGGUGCAUUUUUCUUAAUUUAGCCUGGAAUGGCUGAUGCUUGUUGGGCUAACCGGGUGUGAUGCCUGGUGCAGGAACAAAGUCAGUCUGAAGUCAGGUGACCAGGAUGCCUUUCUCUCCGAUGCAGACUCAACUACCCAAACUGGUCAUGGAGGCAGACAUCUCUUAAUCUCUUGUUUAGCCAACAGAGAUUGACGGCAGAGGUGGCAUUAGAAGGUUUGCUGCCUCACAGGUGCCAUCUGAUGGUGGCAGUUGAGCAGAACCUUAGUAGGUCUUUCGUGACAGCUUUGUAAGACACUGACUAUAAGCCACGCACAAAUUACUUUUUUAUUUAAACAUUUUUUAAUCUUCAUUUUUCAGAGAGUGAGAGAGAGAGACAGAGACAGAGCAUGAGCGGGGGAGGAGCAGAGAGACAGGGAGACACAGAAUCCCAAUCAGGCUCCAGGCUCUGAGCUGUCAGCACAGAGCCCAACGUGCUGCUCCUACCCACAAACUGUGAGAUCGUGACCUGAGCCGAAGCCGGACGCGUAACCUACUGAGCCACCCAGAUUCGAAGCCAGGGUUGAGUCCUCCUAACAGGGCGAGUUCUCUGACAAGGAAGUUUUGCAAGCAAAUUUACAGCUGGAGUCAAGCUCGUCAGUGAGGGCCAGAGGGGGAACUGUCGCAAUCCACUGGGUGUUUGAAAAAUGCCUCUAACGUGUGUGGGCUAGAAUACAUUUUGUUUUUCUGUGGGCAUAUUCAUUUAACAAGGGCAGCCUUUGAGGAACGAUCAAAAACUGUUUGUCAUUUUUCCAAAUCAUCUCUCUCUGCAGUGACCAUGACUUAAUCCUGAAGGAAAACAAGUCUUUUCCCUUCUGGUCUCUGCGCUCUUGAAGGACAUUUGGGCCUGAUGUCCCAGGACUUAAGGCUGAUCCCGGCACAGAUGAGGACAGGAAGAGGUGACUAUGCAAUACUGAAGCUUGAGGAAGACUGAUGGGAGUUCAACCUCAUUUAGACUUGCUCGGGAACAAAUUGUCAAAGUUGUUUGAAGUAAAUAAGCAACCUGGAUCCCAGCCCCUUCCUUUCCUUCCUUCGUUCCUUUGUUCUUGGCUUCCUCAUUCCCCCUCCCUACUUCCCUCCCUUCUUCCCUCUCUCUCCAUCUUCCUCUCUCCUCCUGUCUUUUCUUUCUCGCUUUCCCACCCUUUUGUCCUGAAGCCAGAAGAGCAAGCUAACACCCAGUUGUCAGUUCUGGAUAAUCAAGAUGUUAAUUCUUCAAACGGAGAGAAUUUCUAACACAAAGCCAGAUACCUUUCUACGUGUUACGCAGUACUUCUAGUCAAAUACUGUGGCCAUGGAAGUAAGGUCAAGCAAGAAAUUGGCAGCAACUAUUCAGAACACGUAUACAACAGCACGGGACCCAUUUACUCCAAUGGAGAAAGGGAGUGUAUCAUGGAAAAGUCGCCGUGGGAAUCACUGCAAGUGGGGCAGAAGCCCCAAUCUGAAUUUGCUACAGGGAUAUUUGGAAGAAUGGCUGCCUUAACUCAGCCAUAGGAUCUGGACAAGGACAGAGGAAAUGGGGUUGGAGAGAAAAGGGAGUUUCUGAGAGGCGUGCACAAGGGAAAAUCAAAGGGACUUAUUGCAGUGUAGGUGUCUAGAGGGUUAGCAUUAAAGGACACAUGUAAGUAGAGGACAGCGGUGACUAAAAGCCAUAAACAGGUGACAUUUUCAUCAGCAGUGAUAGAUGCAAAGAAUCAAAUUCAAAGACUGUUAAACAACCUGCCAUCUCUCUCUUUCUUUCAUUGUUAUCUGUCAUCUAGCUAGCUAGAUAUCAAGUUACUUAUCUCUCCACCAAAUCUCACUUUUAACAAGAGAGAAGUCAUUCACAAAGAAGUGUACAUUAUUGCAAGAAAAGAUAAGUGCAAGAUAAAUAAAAAUUGAAGCAAAGGGAAAGUGAACACAGAACAAUACAAGGAACUGUGCACAAAAUGUGCCUGACAUGAGGUCCUCUACACAUGCUUGGGUAGACCAGUAGGAGUAGUUGAAUAAGGUAUGGUGAGGAGGGAUUCGUAAAUAAUGACUUACGUAUUCUAUCAGCUAGCUACGAUAAGAAUCACUUAUGAUGGACAUAAUAUCCAUGUAGUCAAAGUAGACUAGAUAUCUAGAAGAAGCACCACUAUUCCUUAUAUGCAGCCAGGGGGUUUCUCCCAGGCCUCCCCAGAAAGGCUUUCAUGCAAAUAUACUUACUGUAAAUCUGGGGACAGAUUUUAUAGAAGUGUUUAUUAUAAUAUUCCUCAGUAUGGGAUGAUGGCCCAGUAUCAAGUGCAGUUCAAUAUAAGCUGACCUUUGGGUUUGGAGCCGGGUAGGCCAACAGUUCUAUGCUACUCUAUGAUGGUCAAGUAUGUCUGAGAAGCUAUGUUCAGUCGUGGGACAUACUUUAUCGAAGAAAAUUAUCAUUUACAAAGAACGCUGUGCAUACCAUAUUUUUUAUAGAUGCUUGCAGAAUUAAUAAAUGUUUGAAUGAACGUUGGUAGGGACAGGGUUAUAUUUCACUCGUGUAAGAGAGGCUGUUAUUUAUUUAUUUUUUUCCCUCUCCAUGCAAUUGUAUGUCAGUUGUCUACCUUUAGGGUUAAACCGUGAGUUCCACGUGAGCAGGAAUUUUGUCUUGUUUGUCUUUGUAGCCCCAAUCAUGUCCGGUAUAGGAAGGCAGUCAGAUAAUAGUUUGUUGAAGAAAUAAAUGACUGAGUAAGCACACCGCAGAUUCACACACAGAACUGUGUAUGCGAGAGACUGAUCUAUAAUUUUAUCUCAGUAUAGUUUCAUCUCAGGGUAAGGCAGAGACGUAAAAUAAUCCUAAAGUUUUGAGGCAAGGUAUUUGUCAUGGAAAAACCACCGGGAAGAAAUGUUUAAAGGGCAUUUGUGUUUAUUCUUGUGGCAUAGAGAACUCCCUUCUCUCUGGUGCAGUAAACAGGGCUCAGCAGCCUAUAUUCUUUCACUGCCUUUCAUACUGUUAUUAGGGCAGCUGCGUUGUUGAACUCCAACAAGCUGUCUGCUUGCGUACUGGGGUAGAGGAUGUUUAUUUGGUGCCGGUGUUAGAGGGGAAGGCGCACAUCCAAUGUCCUCGUCACCUUUGAUUACUGAUCCUCCAGUGGGACGAUUUUAUGAAAAGUGAGAAAACGUUGCAUUUUCCAAAUCCUUCAAUUUCCACAUCCUCCAACUUGUUCUCCAUCUUUAGAGACAGCACACACUUGUGGUUGAAAGCCUCGGCUCCGGAGCCCCAGGAUCAGAGUUCAACUUUUGGCUGCACCACUUAUGUAUCGUGUGGCACUGGGCCCACUAGUUAACUGUUUGUGCCUCGGUGUUUUCAUCAGUAAAGGAGAAAGAAUAAUAAUACUACCUACAUCAAAGAGGUGUUGGGAGGAUUAAAUAAUUCAUGCAAAGCAGUUAAAAGUGACUGCCACAUAGUACUCAAGAGAUGUUAGCUGAUAUUAUUAUUGUUCACUGAUGCUUUCUUGCUGUUGGUUUUUGCCAUGUUUCAUAUAAAAAUAUUUAUAGUUAAGAAUAAAAUGAGAAUACCGUCACAUAUCUAGUAUGCUCAAAAUAUUACUAGCCUAUACAGGGAAUAUUAACAUUGCCCUCUAAGACCUUAUGAUCUACUUACUGAGGCAAAGUACAGAACUCACGAGAAAUAGGAACACAUACAAAUAGGAGUAGGAACAUGUACAACAAUACAAACACCACCACGUGGUGGUAACUUACCAUUUGGCAAAUCAUGGACAUAUGUAUAUGGACAAUAGGUUUUAUUUUUUCUUGCUCUUUUUUUUUAAUAUGAAAUUUAUUGUCAGAUUGGUUUCCAUGCAACACCCGGUGCUCAUCCCAACAGGUGCCCUCCUCAGUUGGACAAUAGGUUUAAAAAAUACAUGUUUACUGAAUGAAUUUGUGAAAAAAGUUGGUAACAUUUUUUAUUUUGAUAUUUCUUUAUACUAUAUGCUGGGAGAGGGGGCAACUUAAAAGAAAAUGCAAAUGUAGGGUGCCUGGGUAGCUUAGUCAGUUAAGUGCUUCACUUCGGCUCAGGUCAUGAGCUCACGGUUCAUGAGUUCGAGUCCCACGUUGGGCUCUCUGCUGUCAGUACAGAGCCUGCUUCAGAUCCUGCCCUCGCCCCUCCCCCACUUUCUCUCUCUCUCUCUCUCUUUCUCUGUCUCUCUCAAAAUAAGUAAACUUAAAAAAGAAAAGAAAAUGCAAAUACGAAAAGCAGACUAGGCAGAGAUCAUGGUAGUCCUGAAGUCUCCAAAGGUAUGAAAAAUUACAGAUUAUGUGGGCCAUUAAUAAAUGAGUAAAACACAAAGCAGGCUUCUAGCAUUUGUGAAGAAUUACUCUUGGAAACAGAUAGGAUGAAAAUGUGGUAUGAGUUUAUGAGGAGUUUAUGUAUGUAUCUGAUCCUGGGCCAGGAACAGAUUCCAAGCAUAUCCACAGAGUUGGUCGCACAUGUGAAUGUCCUGGAAAACCUAGCCAUAAUUCUAUUUCCCCAAGUUGCUCAGCCCCUGACUGAAAUGUUCUUGGAAACAUAAAUAUGCAGAAGAAAUCAGGACGGCUUAUGUGAUUGUUUUUUUUACAGAGGAAUGUUUUAAUCUUUGUAGCAAAUAAGGUUAGGAUUCCCCAAGAUUUGUUCACCAUAUUCUGAUUAAAAUUCUAACAAUAUUAAGAAUCAUUUACCUCUCCACUAAAGCAAUUUAAUAGCUCCCAACUUGCACAAAAUUACAGUCUGUUUUACACACAAAGGAAACAGAAAGAAAAUGGAAAGUACGAGGCAUUAAGAGAGUUAAACUGGAAAAGCCUAACCACAAAAUUCCAAGUAUUUUAAUAGAUAUUCUUGGUUUUCCCUGGGCUUUAAGGAAAAUUUGCUACUUUUGCAAUUGAAAUCACAUUGGUUUGUAAAGGCUAGUCUAGUGAGAAACAGAGGUUCAUAAAAUCUUUAGGUGAGAGGAAGCUUUUGAAAUUCCACCUGCACGGAAAUCUUUCCCGCUGAAGGUUGUUUACCCAAUUUCCUAGCUGAGUCCUUCCAGUGAUAAGUACCUUGUUAGUGCACAAGUCAGUUCAUUCUAUUGUUGAAGACAUCAAAUGGCAAAAAAAUGUUCUUCCUUAUAUAAUUCAAAUGCCAUUCACCUUUUCAGCCUCUGAAAAUUUGUAAAAUUAUGUUUCCAUUAAAACCCAAAUUGUGCUGACUUUGAGUCCCUAUGGGCCCUUGUAAGAAAUUGAGUUUAUGUUCUAGAACACUUCCCAGGGUUGGGUUUGGUUUUGUUUUGUUGUUUGUUUUUUGUUUGUUUGUUUGUUUGAUUCUUCCAGGAUGUUGCUUCACAUGUGACCUCAGUUCCAGCCCAGUUCUCACACUCUGGUCCUGUUAUCAAUCUGCCAUGCUACUGGCUUGAACCCAGAUGGUCCUUAUAAGGUGGCCAUCUCUUGGCUGGACACAGCUGGCUGUCACUGAUGGUUACUAAUUUGGGACUACAAUUCUUCCUUUGGUUAUCCAUCCCAGGCGUAGAGCAAAAUCUUUAUGUAAUUCUCUAUAGCACCAGCUGUAACUUUCAUUAAGAUUUAUCAAAGACUUGGGAUUAUUUGCUAUUUGCUUGUCCUUGAAGACUACAAACCAUGGAGCUCUCAAAACACACACCCUAUAUAGUCCCUGGUUUUCUUACGGCAGACACAAUUCACGGUCCAAGCGUCCUGGGGUCCAAGAUUCACCAGGCCAAGGAAGAGAAAGACAUUAACCCUCACACCGAUCUCAGGUCUACAUAACUCUAUCCCCAAACCUACUUUUUUCUGGGUAAUUAACCUUGAGAUUCAAGAGCAAUUAUGUUAAUAUGUAACGACCCAAUGUCGGUAAUUUCCCUGAAGUGUGGGUUUUCCAGUUUCAGGAAAUAUUAAGUAAAGGCCCUUCUAUCAGGAAAGGUUCUUGCAGGAACUAACAGAAAACAACUGUGGUUAACUUAAACAGAAGAGAAAUGUGUUGGAAGGAGUGUAGAUGGCUCCCGAAUUCAGGCUCGGAAGACAGAUAGCGACCUGUAGUGGUUAGGCUGAAGAACAGCUCACGUCCAGUCGCAGCUGGGCCAAGAAGGUGGCCCUGGCAGAGCCACCUCUGGACACUUGUGUCAACUGUCACUGCCAGACUCUCUAUCCCUUUUACCUUUGGACCCGAAACUAGUGUUGUGUAAUAGAAAUUUCCACAACAAUGAAAGUGUAUCUUUACUGUCAACAAGUAGCCACUAGCCACAUGUGACUAUUGAGCAUUUGAAAUGUAUCUGAAGAACUGAAUUUUUACCCUUAUUUAAUUUUUAUUAAAAUGAAUUUAAGGAGCACCUGAGUAGCUCAGUCAGUGAA
Long non-coding RNA from Neofelis nebulosa (Clouded leopard), 9312 nucleotides. RefSeq lists it as uncharacterized. The record is from RefSeq and is a predicted model, not a curated record. NCBI's taxonomy places the organism in Eukaryota, Metazoa, Chordata, Mammalia, Carnivora, Felidae. The transcript is spliced from 8 exons.